CUUCAGCAGCAGGAAGAUAGGCACUGCCCAUGUGCCUUGCUUAGCUUCAGUUGCCAGGCUCUGCUUCCUAAACAAAGGCUGCUUUUUCCCUGCCUUUCCACACACCCUGAUGCAACAAAAUUCAACAUGCUCUUCCCAGCCACUCGCUUGUCCUCAUAAGCUGCUCAUGUGAGUGCUAGGUGUAGACAUUUCCCCUGUAGACCAUAGGGAUCCUGCUGGCCUAAAUCCAACUGAGAGAAGAGGCAGUUCUAGAGACUGAGAACAGAGAGACACAGGGUGUCUCAUGCCUCUGCUGGACUCGGACCCGAAGAGCUGCAGAACAUAGAACAUUUGGAAUGCCUAUGCUAGAGAAGGUGGACUGAGGCACCUAAUUCUUCACCUCUCAGCAUCACCAGGCCUUGCUGGAAUGGCCACCUCUGCUGAUUGUGGGACCACCCUUUAUGCAAAAUGUCAAGGAAGGACAAGGAGAAGACCUCAGUAAGGUUGGAGGGUCACGGGAGGAGGCCUGAAUUCCUGGAAGCCAACCCACCUCCCACAUGGUCAGCUAUGAUGAAGGAUACAAUUUUCAAGGGUCCUGAGGGGUGGGAGGCCUAACUGAAAAGGGGCCAAGUCUCCACUUACAGAAUGGAAGCCAGAUCGGAGGUUUGGUGGUUCUGUCCUGAAAAGGAAUAACAUGGAGCGAUUUCCCAUCACCUGCCCUGAGGACGUGGCUACAGUGGCCACAUGGUGUUCAGAGACUGAGUCAGUGAGACCAGACCAGAUGGUGAGGAAGUUACCUGGAACCCCACCACCACCACCAAAUGGCGGGGAGGGGGGGAUGUCUGGCCAAAAAAGAAACGCCCCAUCCUGAGACAACACCCCCAAUCCAUGGAGUGCUGCUUUCUCCAAAGAAGCUACUUAGCCCCGAAAAUACUCUUGGUCAUGCAGGAUAGGAGACAAGCUGAACUUGGCUUGUUGGAGAAAGCAGGGAGGUAUGCUGGUUAACUCAUCAACUUGAUACAAACUAGAGUCACCUUGGAAGAGGGAACUUGAAGUGAGGAACUGCCUCCACCAGACUGCCCUGUAGGCAUGUCUGUGGGGUGUAUUCGUCAUUAAUGAUUGAUGUGGGAGGACCAAGCCUGCUGUGGGCUGCAAGCUAAGACACGUAUGUUGUACAGGUUCAUAGGACAGGUCUGAGCUGAACUGUGUGUUCUUUCUGUUUUUAUGUUUUGUAUGGGUGUUAUGUUGUCUGUGUCCCAUGGAGGCAAGAAGGUGUCAGAUUCCUGACACUGGAGUUUUGAUGUGCCAUGUAGGUGCUGAAGAUCAAACCUGAGGAUCCAACCAAUGAACAUCCUUAACUCCUGAGACAUCCUGCCCCCUGGAUGUGUUCUUAAUAACACUUUUUACAUCCCUAAGCCUGGCCGCCUCUCUAGGUGAAUAGACAUCAGGACACAUCAAUCAGGCAAACAGGAGCAACCCUUGUUCCUCAGCAGCUCUUAGUUUCCUAUAAUUUGUGUUAAACCAUCAUGACCAAAAGAUACUCAGGAGGAAAGGAUUUAUUUGGCCUUAUUUGGGAAACCAAGGCAGGAAUCUGGAGACAGGAACUUUAACAGAGAUGAUGGAGGAACUCUGCCCACUGGCUUUGAUCCUUAUGGCUUGCUCAGUUGGCUUUCUUAUACACCCCAGGCCUCCAGCCUAGGAGUGGCACCGCUCACAGUGGGCUGGACCCUCCCACAGCAAUCAUUAAUCCAGAAAACACCAUCUGAUGGAGGCAUUUUCUCAGUUGAGGUUCCUUUUCUCAGAUGCCCCCACCUGUAUUAAACUGAUAAAAACCUAAGCAGCACCACAGAUAUGUGAGAGGCCGGGACCUCUCACCUACUGGCCAGCACCCUCUGUCCCGCCUCUUUUGAUUUUUACUUUGAGACAGGGUAUCACAAAAAUUACUCAUGUGGCCCUUGAACUUGUGAGCUUCCUCUCUCAGUCUACCAAGUAGGUGGGAAGCCAGGCUUAUGUCUUCUUUGGGGCAGGAUAACCCUGAGCUUCCGGGCCCACAGUCAGUCCCCAUACUUUAGGCAGGGAUAUGAAAAGCCUGGUGUAUUGCAACCCUCUUCUGGCCACCAUUACCAAGGCAGGGAUGAGCACUUGACACAGGCCAGACCAUGCUUCAGUUCCAAAGCCAUUGCCUUGAACUAUGGGAAAGGGAAAGUGAUUGUCACAGAUGCUGGCAAAUGAACAGAUGAGUCUGCCUACUGGCAGCUGCUCACAGACCUCACUGGGUGUUUGCUUCUUGGCCCCUCAUUCGGAAGGCUGGUGUGAAAAGUGAGACUGCGGGCCUCCCAGGGCUCAGCCACAGAACGUGCAUUGUGAGUCUGGGUGCCUUCUAGAUGGAAAACCUGAUGCUCUGAGAAGUGGCCGGUGGGUUCAGAGCCAGAUCCCUGAGGUAGCCACACCUGCCGAGGGGCUGGGUGAAGAAUCUUGAAGCAGGAAGCAGAUGGGAACCCAGAACCACCUCGGCUCUAGAGGGGUCAUGAGUCUGAGGCAGUCUGAGGGAGCUGGGGCGAACCGAGAGCCCUCCUUACGGGCCCCACCCUCUUCUCUACCCUCCCUGUCCCCGGCCCGCCCUGCGCCCCCUCCCAACCCCAGGAGGUGGCAGGGUGACCACCCCCCAGAAGUAGUCUUUAAACGUAUGCACCAGAACAACUCAACUGAGGUUCCCCCUUCUGGGGUCUAUGUGGGAUUGUAUCAGGCUGAUGGCACUAACCAGCACACAAACCAGGAUACAGUACCUAUUUUUACUUCCUCUUCCAUUAUGCUUGUAACGUUAGUAGUUGUGAUUGCUUCUACUCUCACAUUACAGAAGCCUGACCAGAGAGCUUUACACAGGACCUGUUUUUGUCAUUUACUAAAUCCUUUUAUUGUUAGUCCAGCUGUCACAAACUGCCAAGAAGGACCCAGGCAUUUUCUUCCCUCUGCUGGUCUUAGUGGAACAGCUUUUAUGUGCAUGGGUAUCUUCUUUCUAUUACAAAAAAGCUGCUGUGGCUCCAGACAUCUCUUCAGCAUGCCAGAGAGGAAGAUGGAAAUGGGAAAGAAACAGGUAUGCAUGUCACCUGGGGCUGAGGCUGGAGCGAUGGCUCAGUGGCUAAGGGCACUGGCUGCUCUUGCAGCAGAUCCAGAUUCCAAUCCCAGCACCCACACGGUGAUUUAUAACUGCCGGUAACUCCAGUUCCAUGGGAUAUGAUGCUCUCUUCUGACUUCUGAGGACACCAGGCAUGCUCGUGGUGAACAGACAUACAGACAAAAUAGUCAUCACACAAUCUAAAAGAAAUAAAUCUUGGUAACUCUUUUUACAAAGUAUGAUCUUUUGAUUUCUAGGAAGACUUUCUGUGGUAAAAAUGUAUCUCACAGGAAAUGUGCCACUGCGAACACCUGGCACUUUCUCGUGCAACCACUGCCAAGCUCUAGAACAUUCCCAUCAGACCAAGAGCAAGCCACACACAGGAAGUAGCCAGUUCCCAAUCCCUUGGCCUUUCAUCUGUUUCUGUUGAUGAUAUUUCACAUCAACAAGACACAAUACUGCCACCCUGUGCCUUUGCUUCCACUCAGCACGCCAACGUUGAGGUAGCUGUGACAGUACCCGACCUCUUUUUGUGACUGAGUAAUUCUCCAUUGAAUGGAUGGCUAUACCUCAGUUCAGUAUUAGUCUGCUCAUUCACAGACAGGCAUUUAUUUGAGUUGUUUUUACCUGUUAGCUAUUGGGAAAGUUCACAUGUGAAUUCCGUUUGCCCACUUACUUUCAAUUCUGAAAUAAAUAAAAUUCCAUUUUGUCCCAAGCAGCUCCUGGGUCUGAUGUGUGGCAUUGAGACCUGCGGUUCUGUUCCCUUGCUGCCUGUUACCUGUUCAAAGAACAAAACGAACACCUAAACCGAGUCUCUGAUGCGACUGUCCAGGAAAAAAUGGCAACAGCCCAGAUGCUGUGCUAGGCCACCACUUGUUGCUGAGCUGGCAGCUUCGAUAGGGAAUGAGGAGAAGGAGGAAGAGGAGGCACAGUGCAGCCCAGCUCUGCAUCAGCACCAACCCUUCCAGUUUAGGAAAAGGCUGACUGAGAAAGGAAACUGCAUUGAGGAGGAAAUCAAGAGCUUUCCUCUGAGUGAAAGGUUUCAACUCUGAAGUGUCUGUUAAACAUCAGAGUCAAGGUUGUGGAUCAUCAACUCUGAUAACAGAUCUGGAAGUCAAGCACUAGUCUGUACUGGAGACAGAAUCUAUGGGCAAGUGGCAUUUAAAGUCAGUUUAUAUUCAAAGUCAUGAAACUUUGAUUUCCAGUGGAUUGUGAUUUCCAGUGGAGUAGACCCAUCCUGAAGACCAAGGCCUGGGAUGUCCUGAGGCUUAGGAAUUGGAUAACCCAAAGAUAGAUGAACAAAAGAGUCUGAACAGGGACAGAAGGAGACAGGAACAAACCCUGGGAGUCAGUGUUUGGGACGUCCAGGGUAGAGAGCUUUACAAGAAAGAGGAAGAGAAGACUGUCCUGAGAUGUGGAGACAAAAGAUUCAAGAGUUCAAGGUCAACCUCAGCUUUGUGACAAGUUCAAGG
This is a long non-coding RNA of Mus musculus (house mouse), 4566 nucleotides long. RefSeq annotates it as predicted gene, 39215. Lineage: Eukaryota; Metazoa; Chordata; Mammalia; Rodentia; Muridae. The transcript has 3 exons. The record is from RefSeq and is a predicted model, not a curated record.